GACGAACGCUGGCGGCGUGCUUAACACAUGCAAGUCGAACGGAAAGGCCCUGCUUUUGUGGGGUGCUCGAGUGGCGAACGGGUGAGUAACACGUGAGUAACCUGCCCUUGACUUUGGGAUAACUUCAGGAAACUGGGGCUAAUACCGGAUAGGAGCUCCUGCUGCAUGGUGGGGGUUGGAAAGUUUCGGCGGUUGGGGAUGGACUGGCGGCUUAUCAGCUUGUUGGUGGGGUAGUGGCUUACCAAGGCUUUGACGGGUAGCCGGCCUGGGAGGGGGAACGGCCACAUUGGGACUGAGAUACGGCCCAGACUCCUACGGGAGGCAACAGUGGGGAAUAUUGCACAAUGGGCGGAAGCCUGAUGCAGAAACGCCGCGUGCGGGAUGACGGCCUUCGGGUUGUAAACCGCUUUAGCCUGUGACGAAGCGUGAGUGACGGUAAUGGGUAAAGAAGCACCGGCUAACUACGUG
RNAcentral lists this ribosomal RNA (468 nucleotides) under uncultured bacterium. RNAcentral's name for it is "partial 16S ribosomal RNA". It matches the Rfam family "Bacterial small subunit ribosomal RNA", at positions 28 to 507 of the family's 1533-position model. The record is from RNAcentral.